RNAcentral lists this transfer RNA (64 nucleotides) under Xylophagaidae sp. E23. RNAcentral's name for it is "tRNA-Pro". The record is from RNAcentral. Lineage: Eukaryota; Metazoa; Mollusca; Bivalvia; Myida; Xylophagaidae. RNAcentral also lists the same sequence under 1 other name.
UAGGCUUUAGUUUAAAAAAAACUUAAGCUUUGGGAGUUUAAAAUGCUAUUAUUAGUAGGCCUAA